UACGUAGGGGGCUAGCGUUGUCCGGAUUUAUUGGGCGUAAAGAGCGUGUAGGCGGCCAGGUAGGUCUGCUGUGAAAACUCGAGGCUCAACCUCGAGACGUCGGCGGAAACCAUCUGGCUAGAGUCCGGAAGAGGAGAGUGGAAUUCCUGGUGUAGCGGUGAAAUGCGUAGAUAUCGGAAGGAACAUCAGUGGCGAAAGCGACUUCCUGGACCAAUACUGACGCUCAUGUGCGAAAGCGUGGGGAGCAAACAGG
RNAcentral lists this ribosomal RNA (253 nucleotides) under uncultured bacterium. Its description in RNAcentral is "partial 16S ribosomal RNA". It matches the Rfam family "Bacterial small subunit ribosomal RNA", at positions 524 to 776 of the family's 1533-position model. The record is from RNAcentral.